CCUUGGAAAGGCCCCUCUUCCCRUCGCACGAGGAGAGGGCACGGAAGGACACAGCUUCCACCAGGCUGGCAUAUCCUGUCGUUGUUGGACGGGAUAGCAGACUUUAUGUGCAGAAUGGAUGUGGAAGGACAGAUAGCCAGAAGGCCAGCGCGAUACUGAGGUAGCGAAGGGAAGGGGCACUUUGAAGGAUAAAAACCCUUUGCCUUGAGCGGAAGCGCAGGCUGCCGGGGAGGCUGGCRCCGGGGACGGGAACCUCCGGUCCGGGCUCUGCUGCAGCUGUGCUGGGUGACCUUGUGUUCUCCCGUUUUCCUCGAGUCCGCCAGCUCUUGACAGCUCGAAUCAAACGUCUGCCCAAACCUAGAUGGCCCGAUAAACUGGCGUGGCCGAGGCGCAGCCCAGAGCGGCGGGAGCGGUGCGGUGAGCAUCGCGGCUCGGAUCCGCCGGCCUCAUUCCCGAGGUCCCAC
RNAcentral lists this long non-coding RNA (464 nucleotides) under Dromaius novaehollandiae (emu). Its description in RNAcentral is "lncRNA (ENSDNVG00000014908.1)". The record is from RNAcentral. Lineage: Eukaryota; Metazoa; Chordata; Aves; Casuariiformes; Dromaiidae.